This is a long non-coding RNA of Papaver somniferum (opium poppy), 1876 nucleotides long. RefSeq lists it as uncharacterized. NCBI's taxonomy places the organism in Eukaryota, Viridiplantae, Streptophyta, Magnoliopsida, Ranunculales, Papaveraceae. The transcript is spliced from 2 exons. The record is from RefSeq and is a predicted model, not a curated record.
GUUUUAUUCCUUUUCAAUUUUCAAUUUGUGCUUAUCAACUUUGCUAAUGGAUGUUUGGUAAGAUUCUUUUAUGAAAAAUCGUGUUCUUACAAAUCAAAGACAUGGGUAUUUGGAACUUCAUUUGGUUUCAUGUUUAACUAAAUUUUUCAAAAUUUCUUAACACGAAAUAUCCUUGAAAUGUUUCAGCUUGCUGGGUCAUAGUUGCCGGGAGGGAAACAACAUAAAAAUUCUUUUCAUUUUUUUUGUUGAAUUUUCUGCACCAAUCUUCUUUGCCAUAGUUUGAUGUGAAUGCAUGUUUUAUCUCCUUUCUUUGUUGUUAAUGUUUCCUCUAUCUCCAUGUUCUGGAAUUGAACAUCACCAUUUUAUCCAAACCAUUUAUACGUUCCUAAGAUUGGAAAUUUGGAAUGUUUUCCGUGAGUUCGAUAAACCUUGCCUAUACACUUUCUCCAGCUUCUCCCUGUUUUGCUAACUUUGUACUCAACAAUGAAUUUUUCUGAAAUCUUACAUUUACACUGUCCUCACUCCUAUCAUAUUGUACAGUGUGUGAUUUCAAAUUUUUAGAUGAUUUUGGGAGUAAAAAAAUGUUACGCAGUUGCAAAAUAUGAAGUCUUGAAUUGAUUCCUCUGACACUAUCGGGUACCCGUUUGCUAAAAUGUCCCAAUGAGAUUACAUUUUUGAAACAUUGAAUGAGGUUUAAGUUCAUGAACAGAUUUAUCUUAGUUUCCUGUUUUAAACCUUGAAAUUGAUUUUUAGUCAGUAGAAAUGAUUUAUAACCAAAUGUCCCUUUCAACUUUAGCCCUUUCCUUGAUUACUCAUUUUGGACGCUGCUCACACUUCCUUAAAUCUUAUUUUUAUGAUUUCUGUGUAGAAAAUGAAACUUAGUUGUCUUAUGACAACUUAUGAUUUCGUUGACUGAGCAUAUGGCUUGAUAACUUGCAUAACGACAAGUUAGUUUCACUUUGUAAUGGAAUUUGUCUUCGAUGAACUUGUACCAGCUUGAGUGUUUUUCUCAUGCUAUUCCACUGAUAAUUCCCCUCUCUCUGCAACGAAGACUGGUUUCUUUCUUUUUAUUCAAAUGCAAGAUUUUCCCGUUAUUCAUUUUAGACUUGUAACAAGUGCUUUACUCUCUUAAAUACACGUUUGGGCCCAUCUUUACUAGCUUCACUUGUACCUAUUGAUUUAGAAUUUCAUUGACGCAUAUGAACUGAUGUAUUUUCUGGUUGAACAAAGUUUGAUAAUGAUUGUGUUUUGUUUAAGGAACUAGCUUACUGGUAAGGUUAAAACUGCCGUACUUAGACUUGUGUUGUUUAAUCGCUUGAUUUCGGAGCUAUCGGAUUGCAUCGAAAUGCAUGUAAGCAUUUACAUUUUGUCGUUUUAUUACGAUGGGAAGCUAGGCGACUCUACUUUAGGAACAUCGGGCCUAAGUGGCACCCCACCACCUCGGUGGCUACCCGGAAGAUCGUUGCGGCAACGAUGGCUGGUAACCAGAACUACCCUGACGGUGGCUAUGGCCAUGCGAAUAGUAGAAGUACGAAGAGAAGUUGCCGCAGUAAGCCGGGCAGAGCUUACGGAAGCCUUUUAGCGCUGAAAGUUAGUAUUUUGUUAAACUUAUGAUAUCGUAUAUCACGGGGUUAUGUGGGUAAUUUCUUGCUUUGGUCCCAUGUCAUUUUGUUGUGUUUAAGCUGGGAUCCUGUACAAAGCCUUUAAGUUGUUUGUAAAUGAUAAAUCUGGUAGAGUGCCGAUGGGUCUGACCUUGGGCGUAUAUAAUUAGUUUAAUCUCUUUUACUAUCUGAAACGUGUUAAACCAUCUUUUAUGUAUAAAACUAUCUUAUGGAUUUCCAUUCAUGAAUUUCCAAUUCAUGGCUUUUCUUUCAUA